Molecule: ribosomal RNA, 254 nt
Filed under: uncultured bacterium
Lineage: Bacteria
Description: partial 16S ribosomal RNA
Rfam family: Bacterial small subunit ribosomal RNA
Source: RNAcentral
GACGAACCGUGCGAACGUUAUUCGGAAUCACUGGGCUUAAAGCGCGUGUAGGCGGGUCGGCGCGUCGGCCGCUGAAAUCCCCCGGCUCAACCGGGGAAGCGGCGCCGAUACGGCCGGCCUGGAGGGACGUAGGGGGGGCUGGAACUUCCGGUGGAGCGGUGAAAUGUGUUGAGAUCGGAAGGAACGCCCGUGGCGAAAGCGAGCCCCUGGACGUCUACUGACGCUGAGACGCGAAAGCCAGGGGAGCGAACGGG